UCGCGGCCUAUCAGCUUGUUGGUGAGGUAAUGGCUCACCAAGGCGACGACGGGUAGCCGGCCUGAGAGGGUGACCGGCCACACUGGGACUGAGACACGGCCCAGACUCCUACGGGAGGCAGCAGUGGGGAAUAUUGCACAAUGGGCGAAAGCCUGAUGCAGCGACGCCGCGUGAGGGAUGACGGCCUUCGGGUUGUAAACCUCUUUCAGUAGGGAAGAAGCGAAAGUGACGGUACCUGCAGAAGAAGCACCGGCUAACUACGUGCCAGCAGCCGCGGUAAUACGUAGGGUGCGAGCGUUAUCCGGAAUUAUUGGGCGUAAAGAGCUCGUAGGCGGUUUGUCGCGUCUGUCGUGAAAGUCCGGGGCUUAACCCCGGAUCUGCGGUGGGUACGGGCAGACUAGAGUGCAGUAGGGGAGACUGGAAUUCCUGGUGUAGCGGUGGAAUGCGCAGAUAUCAGGAGGAACACCGAUGGCGAAGGCAGGUCUCUGGGCUGUAACUGACGCUGAGGAGCGAAAGCAUGGGGAGCGAACAGGAUUAGAUACCCUGGUAGUCCAUGCCGUAAACGUUGGGCACUAGGUGUGGGGACCAUUCCACGGUUUCCGCGCCGCAGCUAACGCAUUAAGUGCCCCGCCUGGGGAGUACGGCCGCAAGGCUAAAACUCAAAGGAAUUGACGGGGGCCCGCACAAGCGGCGGAGCAUGCGGAUUAAUUCGAUGCAACGCGAAGAACCUUACCAAGGCUUGACAUGUUCUCGAUCGCCGUAGAGAUACGGUUUCCCCUUUGGGGCGGGAUCACAGGUGGUGCAUGGUUGUCGUCAGCUCGUGUCGUGAGAUGUUGGGUUAAGUCCCGCAACGAGCGCAACCCUCGUUCCAUGUUGCCAGCACGUAAUGGUGGGGACUCAUGGGAGACUGCCGGGGCAACUCGGAGGAAGGUGGGGACGACGUCAAAUCAUCAUGCUCCUUAUGUCUUGGGCUUCACGCAUGCUACAAUGGCCGGUACAAUGGGUUGCGAUACUGUGAGGUGGAGCUAAUCCCAAAAAGCCGGUCUCAGUUCGGAUUGGGGUCUGCAACUCGACCCCAUAAAGUCGGAGUCGCUAGUAAUCGCAGAUCAGCAACGCUGCGGUGAAUACGUUCCCGGGCCUUGUACACACCGCCCGUCAAGUCACGAAAGUCGGUAACACCCGAAGCCGGUGGCCUAACCCUUGUGGGGGGAGCCGUCGAAGGUGGGGCUGGA
Molecule: ribosomal RNA, 1232 nt
Filed under: uncultured Actinomycetes bacterium
Lineage: Bacteria; Bacillati; Actinomycetota; Actinomycetes
Description: bacterial SSU rRNA
Rfam family: Bacterial small subunit ribosomal RNA
Source: RNAcentral